GUGGGGAAUCUUAGACAAUGGGCGCAAGCCUGAUCUAGCCAUGCCGCGUGAGCGAUGAAGGCCUUAGGGUUGUAAAGCUCUUUCAGGGGGGAAGAUAAUGACGGUACCAGCAGAAGAAGCCCCGGCUAACUCCGUGCCAGCAGCCGCGGUAAUACGGAGGGGGCUAGCGUUGUUCGGAAUUACUGGGCGUAAAGCGCGCGUAGGCGGACUGAAAAGUUGGGGGUGAAAUCCCGGGGCUAAACCUCGGAACUGCCUUCAAAACUAUCAGUCUGGAGUUCGAGAGAGGUGAGUGGAAUUCCGAGUGUAGAGGUGAAAUUCGUAGAUAUUCGGAGGAACACCAGUGGCGAAGGCGGCUCACUGGCUCGAUACUGACGCUGAGGUGCGAAAGCGUGGGGAGCAAACAGGAUUAGAAACCCCUGUAGUCC
This 425-nucleotide ribosomal RNA is filed under the name uncultured bacterium. RNAcentral's name for it is "bacterial SSU rRNA". It matches the Rfam family "Bacterial small subunit ribosomal RNA", at positions 354 to 796 of the family's 1533-position model. The record is from RNAcentral.